This 74-nucleotide transfer RNA is filed under the name Candidatus Woesearchaeota archaeon CG10_big_fil_rev_8_21_14_0_10_44_13. RNAcentral describes it as "tRNA-Leu". It matches the Rfam family "tRNA". Rfam says of the family: Transfer RNA (tRNA) molecules are approximately 80 nucleotides in length. Their secondary structure includes four short double-helical elements and three loops (D, anti-codon, and T loops). Lineage: Archaea; Nanobdellati; Candidatus Woesearchaeota. The record is from RNAcentral.
GGGCCGGUAGCUCAGCCUGGUAGAGCACUUGGAUAAGAAUCAAGUGGUCGAGGGUUCGAAUCCCUUCCGGCCCG